RNAcentral lists this transfer RNA (67 nucleotides) under Aderitotermes cavator. Its description in RNAcentral is "tRNA-Leu". It matches the Rfam family "tRNA". From Rfam's summary of the family: Transfer RNA (tRNA) molecules are approximately 80 nucleotides in length. Lineage: Eukaryota; Metazoa; Arthropoda; Insecta; Blattodea; Termitidae. The record is from RNAcentral.
ACUAUUUUGGCAGAUAAGUGCGUUAGAUUUAGAAUCUAUUAAUGUAAAUUUUUAUUUACAGGUAGUA